Molecule: ribosomal RNA, 253 nt
Filed under: uncultured bacterium
Lineage: Bacteria
Description: partial 16S ribosomal RNA
Rfam family: Bacterial small subunit ribosomal RNA
Source: RNAcentral
UACGGAGGGGGCAAGCGUUAUCCGGAUUCACUGGGCUUAAAGGGUGCGUAGGCGGGUUGGUAAGUCAGUGGUGAAAUCUCCGUGCUUAACAUGGAAACUGCCAUUGAUACUACUGAUCUUGAAUUUUCUGGAGGUAAGCGGAAUAUGUCAUGUAGCGGUGAAAUGCUUAGAUAUGACAUAGAACACCAAUUGCGAAGGCAGCUCGCUACACGAAUAUUGACUCUGAGGCACGAAAGCGUGGGGAUCAAACAGG